GAUGAACGCUGGCGGCGUGCCUAAUACAUGCAAGUCGAGCGAACGGACGCGAAGCUUGCUUCGUUGAUGUUAGCGGCGGACGGGAGAGUAACACGUGGAUCACCUCCCUAUAAGUCUGAUAUCACUUCGGGAAACCGGAUCUAAUACCGGAUAAUAUUUUGCACCGCCUGGUUCAAAAGUGAAAGUCGGUGUUGCUGUCACGUCUCGAUGUAUCCGCGCUGCAUUAGCUAGUUGGUAAGGUAACGGGUUACCAAGGCAACGAUGCAUAGCCGACCUGUGAGGGUGAUCGGCCACACUGGAGCGGAGCCACGGACCAGACUCCUGCGGGAGGCAGCAGGAGGGAAUCUUCCGCAAUGGGGGAAAGCCUGACGGAACAACGCCGCGGGAGUGAUGAAGGUCCUCGGAUCGUAAAACUCUGUUAUUAGGGAAGAACAUAUGUGUAAGUAACUGUGCACAUCGUGACGGUACCUAAUCAGAAAGCCACGGCUAACUACGUG
This 497-nucleotide ribosomal RNA is filed under the name uncultured bacterium. RNAcentral describes it as "partial 16S ribosomal RNA". It matches the Rfam family "Bacterial small subunit ribosomal RNA", at positions 28 to 507 of the family's 1533-position model. The record is from RNAcentral.